UCAGGCCUAACACAUGCAAGUCGAACGAGGUAGCAAUACCUAGUGGCGGACGGGUGAGUAACGCGUGGGAACGUGCCCUUUGCUUCGGAAUAGCCUCGGGAAACUGGGAGUAAUACCGGAUGAGCCCUACGGGGGAAAGAUUUAUCGGCAAAGGAUCGGCCCGCGUUGGAUUAGGUAGUUGGUGGGGUAAAGGCCUACCAAGCCGACGAUCCAUAGCUGGUUUGAGAGGAUGAUCAGCCACACUGGGACUGAGACACGGCCCAGACUCCUACGGGAGGCAGCAGUGGGGAAUCUUAGACAGUGGGCGCAAGCCUGAUCUAGCCAUGCCGCGUGAUCGAAGGGGGCCCUAGGGUUGUAAAGAUCUUUCGGGGGGAAG
Molecule: ribosomal RNA, 376 nt
Filed under: uncultured bacterium
Lineage: Bacteria
Description: bacterial SSU rRNA
Rfam family: Bacterial small subunit ribosomal RNA
Source: RNAcentral